Molecule: non-coding RNA, 20 nt
Filed under: Arabidopsis thaliana (thale cress)
Lineage: Eukaryota; Viridiplantae; Streptophyta; Magnoliopsida; Brassicales; Brassicaceae
Source: RNAcentral
CGGGGGAAGCCGAAAGGCCA